GAUGAACGCUGGCGGCGUGCCUAAUACAUGCAAGUCGAGCGAACAGACGAGGAGCUUGCUCCUCUGACGUUAGCGGCGGACGGGUGAGUAACACGUGGAUAACCUACCUAUAAGACUGGGAUAACUUCGGGAAACCGGAGCUAAUACCGGAUAAUAUAUUGAACCGCAUGGUUCAAUAGUGAAAGACGGUUUUGCUGUCACUUAUAGAUGGAUCCGCGCCGCAUUAGCUAGUUGGUAAGGUAACGGCUUACCAAGGCAACGAGGAGUAGCCGACCUGAGAGGGGGAUAGGAAACACAGGAAGGGAGACAAGGUAGAGAUGAAGAAGGGGGGAAGAAGUAGGGAAUGUUGUGAAAUGGGCGAAAGACUGAAGGAGAAAAGAAGGGUGAGGGAGGAAGGUAUACUGAUAGUAAAAAUAUGUGAUUAGGGAAGAACAAAUGUGUAAGUAAGUAGGCACGUAUGGAGGGUAAGUAAUCAGAAAGGCACGGCUAACUAGGGG
RNAcentral lists this ribosomal RNA (497 nucleotides) under uncultured bacterium. Its description in RNAcentral is "partial 16S ribosomal RNA". It matches the Rfam family "Bacterial small subunit ribosomal RNA", at positions 28 to 507 of the family's 1533-position model. The record is from RNAcentral.